UGGGGAAUUUUGGACAAUGGGCGAAAGCCUGAUCCAGCAAUGCCGCGUGUGUGAAGAAGGCCUUCGGGUUGUAAAGCACUUUUGUCCGGAAAGAAAUCCUUGGCUCUAAUACAGUCGGGGGAUGACGGUACCGGAAGAAUAAGCACCGGCUAACUACGUGCCAGCAGCCGCGGUAAUACGUAGGGUGCAAGCGUUAAUCGGAAUUACUGGGCGUAAAGCGUGCGCAGGCGGUUUGCUAAGACCGAUGUGAAAUCCCCGGGCUCAACCUGGGAACUGCAUUGGUGACUGGCAGGCUAGAGUAUGGCAGAGGGGGGUAGAAUUCCACGUGUAGCAGUGAAAUGCGUAGAGAUGCGGAGGAAUACCGAUGGCGAAGGCAGCCCCCUGGGCCAAUACUGACGCUCAUGCACGAAAGCGUGGGGAGCAAACAGGAUUAGAUACCCUGGUAGUCCACGCCCUAAAACGAUGUCAACUAGUUGUUGGGGAUUCAUUUCCUUAGUAACGUAGCUAACGCGUGAAGUUGACCGCCUGGGGAGUACGGUCGCAAGAUUAAAACUUAAAGGAAUUGACGGGGU
This 572-nucleotide ribosomal RNA is filed under the name uncultured bacterium. RNAcentral describes it as "partial 16S ribosomal RNA". It matches the Rfam family "Bacterial small subunit ribosomal RNA", at positions 355 to 919 of the family's 1533-position model. The record is from RNAcentral.